RNAcentral lists this ribosomal RNA (951 nucleotides) under uncultured Verrucomicrobiae bacterium. RNAcentral describes it as "bacterial SSU rRNA". It matches the Rfam family "Bacterial small subunit ribosomal RNA", at positions 1 to 957 of the family's 1533-position model. Lineage: Bacteria; Pseudomonadati; Verrucomicrobiota; Verrucomicrobiia. The record is from RNAcentral.
CUAGAUUAGAGUUUGAUCCUGGCUCAGAACGAACGCUGGCGGCGUGGAUAAGACAUGCAAGUCGAACGGGACCAAGUCUGUAGUAAUACAAACUUGGUUCAGUGGCGCACGGGUGCGUAACACGUGAGCAAUCUGCCGGGAAGUGGGGGAUAGCUCGCCGAAAGGCGAAUUAAUACCGCAUGUGGCCAUUCUUCGAGUGGAGGAAAAGCCAAAGCAGCAAUGCGCUUCCUGAUGAGCUCGCGGCCUAUCAGCUCGAUGGCGGGGUAAUGGCCCACCAUGGCUUUGACGGGUAGCUGGUCUGAGAGGACGACCAGCCACACUGGAACUGAGACACGGUCCAGACACCUACGGGUGGCAGCAGUCGAGAAUUUUUCACAAUGGGGGAAACCCUGAUGGAGCGACGCCGCGUGGAGGAUGAAGGCCUUCGGGUUGUAAACUCCUGUCAUGCGGGAACAAGCAAGUGAUAGUACCGCAAGAGGAAGAGACGGCUAACUCUGUGCCAGCAGCCGCGGUAAUACAGAGGUCUCAAGCGUUGUUCGGAUUCAUUGGGCGUAAAGGGUGCGUAGGUGGUGAUGCAAGUCUGGUGUGAAAUCUCGGAGCUCAACUCCGAAAUUGCACCGGAUACUGCGUGACUCGAGGACUGUAGAGGAGAUCGGAAUUCACGGUGUAGCAGUGAAAUGCGUAGAUAUCGUGAGGAAGACCAGUUGCGAAGGCGGAUCUCUGGGCAGUUCCUGACACUGAGGCACGAAAGCCAGGGGAGCAAACGGGAUUAGAUACCCCGGUAGUCCUGGCAGUAAACGGUGCACGUUUGGUGUGGGCGGGUUCAGACCCCGUCCGUGCCGGAGCUAACGCGUUAAACGUGCCGCCUGGGAAGUACGGUCGCAAGAUUAAAACUCAAAGAAAUUGACUGGGGCCCGCACAAGCGGUGGAGUAUGUGGCUUAAUUCGAUGC